Molecule: long non-coding RNA, 6524 nt
Filed under: Taeniopygia guttata (zebra finch)
Lineage: Eukaryota; Metazoa; Chordata; Aves; Passeriformes; Estrildidae
Description: lncRNA (ENSTGUG00000024426.1)
Source: RNAcentral
UUUCCAGGUUUUAAUUAAAAUCAUAGGUGUUAAGAAGCAAGAGUGUCUUCGUGGAAUACAAGUCUAAUGAAGUAUUUCCUCACAUAGCAGAAAUCUCUGUGUGCAGUCCCAGAUCCCUGGCACCAGGUGCCCAAAACACCAACCCCCUGGAACCAGGAAUUCGCUUCUUGAGAAUUUGAAAAACAGAUUAUCCUGCAAUUUGUUUCAAAUAAAUGUAGGUGCCAAGAUGGAGCUGGAAAAAUAAUACUAAGUAGGAAAAAGAAACCCCAACAACCUAGCACAGCCAUAAAACUUGAUCGCUUAAUUGACUAACUGGAGGCAAUUGUGACUUCACUACAUGCCAGUGAGAAGGGGCUGCAUGGCAAAAAGGAGAGGACUCCAUGUGGGGCCGUGUAUGAAAGCACAGAAGAGGAAAAGCAAUGGGAAGGAAGCAGCAAAGUGAGAAAAGGCAGCACAGAAGGUUGGAGCAAGGGCAAUUAGGGACAGUGGGAAGGCAGGUAAAAAUGCAAACACAUGAAAAUUUGCAAGACCAGAUCUAACUGACCUGUUCCCUUUGUCUCCCACGGGACCAAAGGAAAAAGCAGGAAAGGAACCAGCAUGGAGUGACAUACAUGUGUAGACACAGGUGAGGGGACUGAUCUUUGGCAGGUGUAAAGCUGGCUGGAGGUCAAGGCUGAUGGCCAAACACCAGUUACUGCAAAAUGAAGCCCAGCAGAAGCAAUUUUCCUUCACCAUCAUUCUCCAGGGGAAAAAAAAGGUCCAGUCUGCAAACUCCAGGACUGCUUUCUAUCCUACUGCAUAAUGGUGCCUGCCUCGUCAUAGGAGGCACACACAAAGAAGGGAGGGACACUGAAAGACAAAGCCAGUGUGAAAGUAUCAAAGCAGUGUAGAGAGUGAGGGUUCUUAAUGGGGAGAGGGUGACUUUGCCUGCAAGUCCACCUCAAAGAAGAAUGAUGGCAUCAUUGACAUCUCUCAAACAGCUGAACAGCAGUCUUUUAUGGAUUUGUUUUCAUUUUAAAUGCUUCCAUCUCAGUCUAGGGGAGCUAGAGACGGCCUUCACGCAGAGUAGUGUGGGUGUGUGGUCCCAGGCUCCAGUCAGGACUCUGGAAGUUUUCACCAGCCACACUUUGGUCUGAAUCUUAUUUCUAGAAGAUUGCAUCAUACUGUAGUCAGUAGGUUGCUUGUCCCACAUUCCUUCCAGCUUCAGACAAGUCCACUUGCCUAACAGUUUCCUGUGAUACUUCUAUGACGCUUGAUUAAUUCUGUAUCAUGGUGAGAUUAAAAAGACAAAAAGCCUUUUCCCCCCACUACUGUUCCUUUUCUUUUGUACUUGUCACCUUGGGAGACAACAGAAACAUAGAAACACAUUGGCCAGAAAAAUAUGACUCACAAUUGAGGGAGCUGCAGAAGUUGUGUCCUUGGCCUUACAUUCUGGGUUCACUGUGUGAGGCAGGAGCAAUGGAAAAGACAAGCACUAUUUCCUCAUGAAACACUGCUCAAGACCUGAACAUGCUUCUCUCAAACCCAGAUCUAGUCAAUGGAGCACAUCUAAUCACCAAAGACAUGUCUUGCUUUUGAUUCCUGUGAUUCUAGAGGCAGCAACAAUCAUAGCUGGAAAAUCACAGGAUGCUGCAGAUGGGACCUCAAAUAAACGGAAGGACUCUUGCCAGCCUCAGGUGAAGUUGCAAGCAAGUGCCUUCUCUAUUUGGAGGGAAGAAGUUCACUGAAUGUCUCCCCAUCAAUAACUGUACUGUGAGGUACAAUGCCUUUGGCUAAAAGAACCCUCUUGGCUCACCUGAACCCAUGGGUAUAGGUGCUUGGAAAGUGAGGGAAACAGAGGUUUUGCUGUGUUUGAGAGGUAAAUGUGCUUUCUGACCCUUGCAGACCUUGUAGCUGUAUACAGUGCUGAUGAGGCCAAAAAAGGGAUCUGAAAGCACCACUGACCUUUGCAAAUUGAUUCCUAGUUACUGGCCUAGUAUAGGCAACUUACAGUUUUAUUGGGCUACUCCUUUGGUCAAGGUCUGCUUGAUUUGUAUUAAUUUUAUCCUGAUAAAAAAGGGGAGCUUUUAGCAUCAUUUAAAAGUGCAACACUGCAGAAUCACAUGGAAAUGACCUUGCAGAUCUAGGGGUUAUAAAUCAGCCAAUGGAAAGGAAUGUUAUGCAGUACUAAGAGAAACAGGACAAAAAUGUGCACUUAGAUACUCUUGACUAAUGGUUUGUAUUUUAUAGCACCUUCCUUUAGAAGAUCUCAAAGAGCUUCACAGUAAACAGAAAAAAGAAACAGGAAAAAAACAUACUUUGAAUGUCUUAUCCUGCAUUCACAAGCCCUACUCCCAGAUGGUUACACCAGUUGAUACCAUCUGGAGACCAGAACUGUCAUUUCCCUGUGCCCAAAGCUGAGGUAAAGCACAAAGAAAUGAAAAAAUCUCUGUCUAUAACAUCAGGCCCUUGAAGUGAUACAAGGAUCUGGCUUUGUACAGACCCACUGGGGAAAACAGUGGAGAGCCAGUCUUCACUGCCUCAGUAUAAAUCUCAUAUCCUACUUUAAGUUUUUCUCUGGGAUAGUGUCAUCAGCAUGAUGAAGAACAGGCACUAAGAAAGAACUUCUGAACUUGGUCUGUUCCUAUUACAAACAAGCUCUUACUAUGCAUCUAACUAGCAGAUAAAUAUUCUACCCCAGUCAUUGCUGUCAUACCUGAGCACCCAUUGAAGCUGUCCUUACUCCCUUCAGGUUAGUGACAGAUAAGCAGCAAUACUGUAAGACCAAGGUCAACUUUAGAAUCAUAAAAGCUCAAAGAAAAUUCACAGUUCUUGCAGGCUGGUCCUGAAACAGAUGCCAGCAAGUGACUCAGCCAAGAUCACAGCUGCAAGAAAGUUGCAGUGCUGGGGACUGCCCUUCAUCCCCUGAGAAUUAAACACUAAACUCCAAAUAAGCUGCUAAUACUGACACCACAGCAGUUUAUCUCCAGACAGUGACUAAUUUGACAAUGCUUUUCAUACCUAAGAGUAGUGAUCUCCCCAAUAAUAUGAUAUGUCUGACUGACACAUUCUGGUUUUAAUAGCCAUGGACUCCCCCUUCUAGACAAAGCUAUGGAAAGACAAAUGUACAUAUCUUGGUUUUUUUUCCAGUGCUACGUUAGGGAAGAAAGAAAAGGAACAAACAAAGAUGUUUGAUUUUGACAGUAUCUAUCCUGGCAUCUCAUGCUACUACUAGGGAGAGCUAAUGGAGAGUGAUCACAAUGCCAAAGGAACUUGAGCAGACAGAAAGAGCUGUUAAGGAAUCAGAAGAAGUUGCAAAUGCAUCUAGACAAGUGAUUAGGAAUCUCACCUCCUACCUACCAGCAGUCAGUGGCUGUGUUCCUCCUACUGCACUCAAGCAGGGACAGGGCAGACCCUGCCUGAGCUUGAGAUGCCCCAGCUGUCUGAGGAACCUGAGUUUUCCAAGCAAAGCUGCAUUUGGAUUUUGCGUGCACCAGUUUUGGCUCAGGGAGCCAUCCUCAGAUUCCCUCCAAAUUCUGGCUAAACAGAAAUGCCUAAAAAGACAAAAACCAGGCUGUGGUAUUUUCAUAAAUAGCUCUCUCUUUGUGGGUGUGUACAUGUAAAAAAAGUAAGAAGGACAGCCCCAAAAGGGAAGCCUAGUAUUAAAGGCUCCAAGAAUACUUUUUUUUCUGAUUUUUCUAUUUCACAGUUGGUUGAUUUCAAGCAUUCUAAUGGCUGCUUCCUACCUCAGUGCCCAUCUGUCUAUUUUAAUAAAUGUUCUUGGUAGCACCUACCUGGCAAACAUCCGAACACCCAGCAGCACAACCAAAUUUCACCUUAAAUCAGGGGGUUGGAACAGCAAGCUAUAUGGAAAUGAUGCAAUCAUCCUUCUCCCACAACAUGGGCACUGGCAGUAGCAGACAGACAGAUGGGCAAAACAAACAGACAAGAAAAUGUGAUGGGCCUGGCCCCAUCUCUCUUUCCAUUUUCUUCUGGUAAAAGUCUGGGUGAGCAAAGGACAGGUUGCUAUAGGACUUGGGUACCCUGUGCAGCCACAGAGGUCUGCUGGGUGGCAGUCAGAAAAGAUUCCUUAGCUACCUUGGAGAUGCUGAGAUAACUGAUGCACUGAAGGCACCACGGGACACUAUACUUACCCCCUUUAGGACCCAUUCCUUGUCUUUGAUCUGCCUCUGUGUCUCUCUGGAUCUCAUCAGUGGUGAUGGAAAUUAACCUUUGCUCCAUUCUCUGGGCAUUCAACCGUUCCCUUUCAUUUGUGAAAGGGUUUCCCACCCUUCCUUGAACACUCUCCAUCCCACAUGCACAUUCAAUACCAGGUAAAUAUUUAUCCUGCUAGAAGAGCUGCCUCCAUUCAUGACCAGCUUUCCUGCCCCUUUCCCUUCACUGUCCACCUCAAAAGGCAGCAUCCCCACGUCUUUGCUCUUAAAGUGGUGGCAGGAGCAGCACACAUGAAUGCUGAUAUUCUGUUACUGCCUAAAGGACAUGAGCACAUGGUUACGUUUUGGCAUUUCACCUUCAUCAAUACUAAAAUUUAGCAAGAAAUGUGUACAAUGAAGGCUUAUGUCUUAGGCCUUUUUCUUAUUAAUCCUAUUACACUUGUCUUUAUGAGCUCUCCAAGUUCCUUUUACUCCCUCCGGGGCUUGGCUGAAAAUGAGAUUUUGCAUCUCAGUGUAAAAUAACCAGAACAUUUUUCUAUAAAAUUAAAUAAAAAUCCUCCGUCCUGGCAGUACAUGCCCAGAAUCCAGUUUCUGGAGUCUUCAUCUUUCCAAGUCCUUCAUUGUCUUCUCAACUUCCUUUAGCUUUGGGAACAGGCUUUCAUUAUAUCCUGAUGAAUAUUGAGAAGAAAAUUAAGGAGCAAACUUUAAACAACUCAGAUGAACAAGAGGGAGAAAAAGUGUGAGUGAGUUGCAGAAGUCUCUGACUUUUAGCAAAGUUCCACUUCUUAUAUAUGCCUCAGUUUUCUAAUGCAUAAAAUUAUAACAGUGAUAGUCCUAGCCUGCAAUGAAGGUGGAUGUUCAAGACUACAAUAUUCAGCUCAUGGAUCUUCAAGACUAUAAUGAGAUUCUGUUAUAACUGAUAGUAUCAAUAGUUUAUUACUGCAGUUACACAACUUUUAGGUAAAUAUUUUGAUUUCUGAACUUACCUGAAUCUUCUUUGCUUUGAAAAACAGGGAUAUGUACCAAUUCCAAAAUUCCUAAUCAAUUAAAUAACUCUCCUGUUUUGUUUUUUUGUUUUUAAUAUAUUGUUUUGAAGAACCAAAUUCUGGUGUCAGAUUUGCAUAUAUAUUCAAUAAGGAAGCUAUGCCUGCUCCUAAAAAUCUUACCAUAAUGACAAGAAAAAGCAAAAUGGAAAGUGUAUUAGAACUCUUAAUACCAUCUAGAGUUAGUAAGGCAGAGUGGAAUGACCAGAAAUGAAAAAUAAUGGCUGAAGAAAAUUAAUAGCAUCCCUUCCCUGAGCUCCAACUUCUUUGAAUUUAAUCUUCCAGAGAAAAGUAAGUAAUGUGUGGAAAGUAAUUCCCAACAUAUUAAGGGAGUGGGAUUUUUACUGUACCAUGUUUGAACUGGUUUGGUGCAGUAACAUUAUCAUUUACCUUUGAUCUGUAAAAUCUGGAUAUGUAUUUACAAUUCACCAGUACUACUCAUAAUUUAAGGCCUUUAAUACCUGAUAUGGCAGGAGAACUUGAGCUGCAAGAAGAAAACAAAAUCAAGCACAACCUGCUAUGCCUUAAGAAAACAUUGACCUCAACCAGCUGAGCUCCUGUUCAACAUCGUCUCAGAAGCUCCACCAGCAGAUUUCCACCUGCACAAGUGUUUUUCUGCUCAGCCUCUGCAGCACACCACUCUUUACCAUAAAAGUUGACAUUUAGAUAUGAAAAAAUCAGGAAGGAAAGGGGAUGAUUUAAAAAUAAAAUGCAAUUUACACUAAUUAUGUCAUUACAUAGGAUGCUCUGCAAAAAAACAUUAGCAAGUGAGAUCAUGUCAGCAAAGCUCAAGAUGAGCUGUAUGAAAGACUUGCAAGUUCCUAAGUCAGAAAGCUGUGGCUUCCUGCUGCUUCUCAUUUCUUGCCCAAUCAAUGCUUCAUAAAGACUUUUAGGAUACAGUUAAAGUAGCUCUGCAGUCCUAAUGUCUGCAGUAUCUAAACAGGAAACCAGUGGUAACAUACCGAUGUGUGUAGCAACCUGGUGCAGAAAAACACAGGAGCAUUCCUGUUACAACGCCAGCGAAAAGAUCAAGUGAGGCAGAUCUGAGUCACCUGUGGCAAAACAGCCAAACAAAAGACUUCCAAAGCCCAGCAUCAUGCCACAACCACUGACUACCCUUCAUUUCACCUCCAGAAAAUUGCUGAAAAGGAGGUGAGUUCCAGCUCACAACAUAGGGCCUGCACGUGUGCAGCUUGAUGCCUUCCUGAUCAGAUCAAGGGCUCUUUGCAAGUCCUCUCCUUUUCCCAAAACACACCCUGUACUGAACUGGAAGGCUGCAUGUCAUGUCUUGAAGCCAUCAGAGGCUACCAUUAGCAAUUAAAAAAAA